Molecule: unclassified non-coding RNA, 18 nt
Filed under: Chlamydomonas reinhardtii
Lineage: Eukaryota; Viridiplantae; Chlorophyta; Chlorophyceae; Chlamydomonadales; Chlamydomonadaceae
Description: small RNA Cre_0257
Source: RNAcentral
ACCGCAGUGUCGGCCGGC